AGCUCUAGAUAACUCACUCGGAAACAGAGGCCUAUUUAUGUAGAUCACUUGCAUUUGUCCCAUUGCAGGAAGGUCUUUCAAAUGCGUAUCCACAAUUGAUGAUAUGCAGCGAGCCAGCGACUUCUUGGUAUUAUAUUGCCUGCAGCGACUGUAAAACUAAGGCCACCAGAGAACCUUCUUCGUUGUUGUGCCCAAAGUUUGGCAACAUUAACGUAUCCGGGGAGCAAAGUAUGAACUCUAACCUCUAAUAGUUUCAGGGAGACUGUUGUGACAUGGAUCCUCCAUUUUUGGGAAGCAUGGAACCUGAAGAAGGGUGGAGAGGAGAGCUUAUGGGGUGGACAUAUUAUAUUAAAUGAGAAGAUAUUUGUUCACAUCUGAAUCUAUGUGCUUCAUACCUAGAUGAGAAGGAAGACAAUGAAAGAUAUCUACACAGAUGUAGCUGAUCAAGUAGGUAUGGAAAGUACAAGUUCGUUUUCCACGAAGACCAUAGAUGAGAUAUGUGAUGUUACGUGUAGCAUUGAAGAAUUACGUGUAACAUUGAAGAAUUACAAUGGUAUUCAGAUUAGUCAAGCUAACAACAAGGGGUCUGAGACAUAUGUUAUUGGUGUGUGUUGCUAUGAGUUGAUUAAGAAGUAUCAGGUUGGUGAAGAUGAGCUCUAAGAUUAGUAGACCGGUUUCCUUAUCAAUGUUAUGAUCUGUUUAAAAAAUAUAUAUAUACUUAUUUGUCUUCGAUGAUGAUGACUCAUUGAAACUAUGUUUGUGUAAGCUUCUUCUAUUCAUAUGUCACUUCUUAUAUAGAAAGGUGGUGGCAGACUCACCGCCGCCAUCAGCUUCACCGAGAUGACUAUGUUUGUUGGAUACAUGUGAACAAUGAUCAGAUCCUCCUCAGCCCUCUCCAGGUAGCUUUCGUGUGGCACAUCCUGCAAUAAUCAAAUCAGAUCUAACCAGUAAGAAGAGAAAAAGCACUCAAAGUUGUGAUAAAGGCUUGACUUGCCUUCUUUGGAUGUGUGUAGGAAUUUUCUUUUUAUUUAUUGAUCAAAUGUGUGAAGUAAUUUUCAUCCAUCAUAUUUGUAGAUGAAAUUAUUGUCUUCUCCUGAAACUCAUCACAUUUGGAUCCAGUCCACUAAUCAACACCUUCAUA
Molecule: long non-coding RNA, 1141 nt
Organism: Brassica napus (rape)
Lineage: Eukaryota; Viridiplantae; Streptophyta; Magnoliopsida; Brassicales; Brassicaceae
Exons: 2
Source: RefSeq, a predicted model, not a curated record